Molecule: long non-coding RNA, 1496 nt
Organism: Pecten maximus
Lineage: Eukaryota; Metazoa; Mollusca; Bivalvia; Pectinida; Pectinidae
Exons: 9
Source: RefSeq, a predicted model, not a curated record
ACUACAAAUGUGUAAUUACCGCAAAAAUAAUACAUUCCUUUUGUUCCAGUGUGUGAGGUCUAUGUAGUGGGGUAUCGCCCUCUAAUACAUACUGUACCCCCUGUGUGUGAGGUCAUCAGCCUCUAAUACAUACUGUACCCCCUGUGUGUGAGGUCUGUGUAGUGGGGUAUCACCCUCUAAUACAUACUGUACCCCCUGUGUGUGAGGUCAUCACCCUCUAAUACAUACUGUACCCCCUGUGUGUGAGGUCUAUGUAGUGGGGCAUCACCCUCUAAUACAUACUGUACCCCCUGUGUGUGAGGUCUAUGUAGUGGGGUAUCGCCCUCUAAUACAUACUGUACCCCCUGUGUGUGAGGUCAUCACCCUCUAAUACAUACUGUACCCCCUGUGUGUGAGGUCUAUGUAGUGGGGUCAUCACCCUCUAAUACAUACUGUACCCCUGUGUGUGAGGUCAUCACCCUCUAAUACAUACUGUACCCCCUGUGUGUGAGGUCUAUGUAGUGGGGUAUCGCCCUCUAAUACAUACUGUACCCCCUGUGUGUGAGGUCUAUGUAGUGGGGUAUCGCCCUAAUACAUACUGUACCCCCUGUGUGUGAGGUCUAUGUAAUGUGUGAGGUCUAUGUAGUGGGGCAUCACCCUCUAAUACAUACUGUACCCCCUGUGUGUGAGGUCUAUGUAGUGGGGUCAUCACCCUCUAAUACAUACUGUACCCCUGUGUGUGAGGUCAUCACCCUCUAAUACAUACUGUACCCCCUGUGUGUGAGGUCUAUGUAGUGGGGUUUCACCCUCUAAUACAUACUGUACCCCCUGUGUGUGAGGUCUAUGUGGUAGGGUAUCACCCUCUAAUACAUACUGUACCCCCUGUGUGUGAGGUCUAUGUAGUGAUGUAUCACCCUCUAACACAUACUGUACCCCCUGUGUGUGAGGUCUAUGUAGUGUGUGAGGUCUAUGUAGUGGGGUAUCGCCCUCUAAUACAUACUGUACCCCCUGUGUGUGAGGUCUAUGUAGUGGGGUUUCACCCUCUAAUACAUACUGUACCCCCUGUGUGUGAGGUCAUCACCCUCUAACACAUACUGUACUUCCUGUGUGUGAGGUCUAUGUAGUGGGGUAUCGCCCUAAUACAUACUGUACCCCCUGUGUGUGAGGUCUAUGUAGUGGGGUAUCGCCCUCUAAUACAUACUGUACCCCCUGUGUGUGAGGUCAUCACCCUCUAAUACAUACUGUACCCCCUGUGUGUGAGGUCUAUCUAGUGGGGUAUCACCCUCUAAUACAUACUGUACCCCCUGUGUGUGAGGUCUAUGUAGUGGGGUCAUCACCCUCUAAUACAUACUGUACCCCUGUGUGUGAGGUCAUCACCCUCUAAUACAUACUGUACCCCCUGUGUGUGAGGUCUAUGUAGUGGGGUAUCACCCUCUAAUACAUACUGUACCCCCUGUGUGUGAGGUCAUCACCCUCUAAUACAUACUGUACCCCCUGUGUGUGAGGUCUAUGUAGUG